Molecule: ribosomal RNA, 456 nt
Filed under: Triticum aestivum (bread wheat)
Lineage: Eukaryota; Viridiplantae; Streptophyta; Magnoliopsida; Poales; Poaceae
Description: partial small subunit ribosomal RNA
Source: RNAcentral
AUGUCAACCAGCACGUUUGCAACCUCGGCCCGCGCGCUCCAGCACAUCAUUUCAACAGCCGCGGCCACGAGCCCUCGCCGUCCGUCGUCUCUAGGCUUCGCCGGCCGAGUUCCGAGCGUCCUUAUUAGGUCCUCCCGCUGCAAGCUGGACGUCUCCGCGGCGGCCGUCUACAUGUUGAAGCUGGUGACCCCGGGAGGGCGGGAGUACGAGCUCGAGGCGCCGGACGACGCCUACAUCCUCGACACGGCCGAGAGCGCCGGCGUGGAGCUGCCGUGCGCGUGCCGCGCCGGGGCGUGCUACAAAUGCGCCGGCAAGGUUGAGGCCGGCACGGUCCACCGGGCGGACGGCUCGCUCCUCCACGGCAGGCUGCAGGAGGAAGGCUACGUGCUCAUCUGCGUGUCGUGCCCCAGGUCCGACUGCGUCAUACAUACCCACAAGGAGGACGACCUUUGGUGA